Molecule: ribosomal RNA, 253 nt
Filed under: uncultured bacterium
Lineage: Bacteria
Description: partial 16S ribosomal RNA
Rfam family: Bacterial small subunit ribosomal RNA
Source: RNAcentral
UACGAAGGGGGCUAGCGUUGCUCGGAAUCACUGGGCGUAAAGCGCACGUAGGCGGAUCUUUAAGUCAGGGGUGAAAUCCUGGAGCUCAACUCCAGAACUGCCUUUGAUACUGGGGAUCUCGAGUCCGGAAGAGGUGAGUGGAACUCCGAGUGUAGAGGUGAAAUUCGUAGAUAUUCGGAAGAACACCAGUGGCGAAGGCGGCGCACUGGUCCGGUACUGACGCUGAGGCGCGAAAGCGUGGGGAGCAAACAGG